CUGCUAGAGAUGGCUUAUUACAGCAUGUUGCUGUACGGUACCAGAGGUUCAGCUAGCUGCCAGAGAUGGCUUAUUACAGCAUGUUGCUGUACGGUACCAGAGGUUCAGCUAGCUGCUAGAGAUGGCUUAUUACAGCAUGUUGCUGUACGGUACCAGAGGUUCAGCUAGCUGCUAGAGAUGGCUUAUUACAGCAUGUUGCUGUACGGUACCAGAGGUUCAGCUAGCUGCCAGAGAUGGCUUAUUACAGCAUGUUGCUGUACGGUACCAGAGGUUCAGCUAGCUGCCAGAGAUGGCUUAUUACAGCAUGUUACUGUACAGUACCAGAGGUUCAGCUAGCU
This 338-nucleotide long non-coding RNA is filed under the name Salmo salar (Atlantic salmon). RNAcentral describes it as "lncRNA (ENSSSAG00000117594.1)". Lineage: Eukaryota; Metazoa; Chordata; Actinopteri; Salmoniformes; Salmonidae. The record is from RNAcentral.